RNAcentral lists this ribosomal RNA (253 nucleotides) under uncultured bacterium. RNAcentral's name for it is "partial 16S ribosomal RNA". It matches the Rfam family "Bacterial small subunit ribosomal RNA", at positions 524 to 776 of the family's 1533-position model. The record is from RNAcentral.
UACGGGGGGGGCAAGCGUUGUUCGGAAUUACUGGGCGUAAAGGGCUCGUAGGUGGCCAACUAAGUCAGACGUGAAAUCCCUCGGCUUAACCGGGGAACUGCGUCUGAUACUGGAUGGCUUGAGAUUGGGAGAGGGAUGCGGAAUUCCAGGUGUAGCGGUGAAAUGCGUAGAUACCUGGAGGAACACCGGUGGCGAAGGCGGCAUCCUGGACCAACACUGACACUGAGGAGCGAAAGCCAGGGGAGCAAACGGG